GACGAACGCUGGCGGCGUGCUUAACACAUGCAAGUCGAACGGAAAGGCCCUGCUUUUGUGGGGUGCUCGAGUGGCGAACGGGUGAGUAACACGUGAGUAACCUGCCCUUGACUUUGGGAUAACUUCAGGAAACUGGGGCUAAUACCGGAUAGGAGCUCCUGCUGCAUGGUGGGGGUUGGAAAGUUUCGGCGGUUGGGGAUGGACUCGCGGCUUAUCAGCUUGUUGGUGGGGUAGUGGCUUACCAAGGCUUUGACGGGUAGCCGGCCUGAGAGGGUGACCGGCCACAUUGGGACUGAGAUACGGCCCAGACGCCUACGGGAGGCAGCAGUGGGGAAUAUUGCACAAUGGGCGGAAGCCUGAGGCAGCAACGCCGCGUGCGGGAUGACGGCCUUCGGGUGGUAAACCGCUUUCGCCUGUGACGAAGCGUGAGUGACGGUAAUGGGUAAAGAAGCACCGGCUAACUACGUG
This 468-nucleotide ribosomal RNA is filed under the name uncultured bacterium. RNAcentral's name for it is "partial 16S ribosomal RNA". It matches the Rfam family "Bacterial small subunit ribosomal RNA", at positions 28 to 507 of the family's 1533-position model. The record is from RNAcentral.